Molecule: transfer RNA, 58 nt
Filed under: Otolemur garnettii (small-eared galago)
Lineage: Eukaryota; Metazoa; Chordata; Mammalia; Primates; Galagidae
Source: Rfam by way of RNAcentral
GUGCCUGUGGCUCAAAGGAGUAGGGCGCCGGCCUCAUAUGCCGGAGGUGGCAGGUGCA